ACACAGGAGCUUUUUAGCUCCACAGACGUCUCAUUUCAUUAGUCAU
This is a non-coding RNA of Scleropages formosus (Asian bonytongue), 46 nucleotides long. The record is from Rfam. Lineage: Eukaryota; Metazoa; Chordata; Actinopteri; Osteoglossiformes; Osteoglossidae.